Molecule: long non-coding RNA, 474 nt
Organism: Sardina pilchardus (European sardine)
Lineage: Eukaryota; Metazoa; Chordata; Actinopteri; Clupeiformes; Clupeidae
Exons: 4
Source: RefSeq, a predicted model, not a curated record
UAACAUUAUUUAAAGGUAAUACAUGUAGUGUUGAUGCAUAAUAUACAUAGUGUUGCUAUACGUUAUCUCACCCCCUGAUUUCAGGAACUAUAGAUCUCUGUGUUUGCAACUUAUUAAUUUUAGCCUCCUUCUGUUCCUUCUGUUUGCAGGCGGUGUGUUACUUGUGUGGAGGACUGCUGCCCUGAGACCGCUGGGUUUAUUCUGGAAUAUUGUCACUUCCAAAGCCCAUUACAAGCCUGCAAUGGGCUCUAUGAACUGUCCAGAGCAAAAUCAGUCUGUCCUGAUGGCACUACCUGCUACUAUGGCUGCUGCUCUCAACCUGGUGGGGCAAGUCUUAAGAGUUGCAGACGGGGGAGCAAAAGGAGUUCCUGGACCCUUAAAGGGUUAAGGCCAUAAUGGGCCACCUAGAAGAGAUUCAGGCACUCCCUCAAGAUUGCUGGGCCAUGCAAUUAAUGCCAAACUUGCAGAACUGUG